Molecule: ribosomal RNA, 504 nt
Filed under: uncultured bacterium
Lineage: Bacteria
Description: partial 16S ribosomal RNA
Rfam family: Bacterial small subunit ribosomal RNA
Source: RNAcentral
AUUGAACGCUGGCGGCAGGCCUAACACAUGCAAGUCGGACGGUAGCACAGAGAGCUUGCUCUCGGGUGACGAGUGGCGGACGGGUGAGUAAUGUCUGGGGAUCUGCCCGAUAGAGGGGGAUAACCACUGGAAACGGUGGCUAAUACCGCAUAACGUCACAAGACCAAAGAGGGGGACCUUCGGGCCUCUCACUAUCGGAUGAACCCAGAUGGGAUUAGCUAGUAGGCGGGGUAACGGCCCACCUAGGCGACGAUCCCUAGCUGGUCUGAGAGGAUGACCAGCCACACUGGAACUGAGACACGGUCCAGACUCCUACGGGAGGCAGCAGUGGGGAAUAUUGCACAAUGGGCGCAAGCCUGAUGCAGCCAUGCCGCGUGUAUGAAGAAGGCCUUCGGGUUGUAAAGUACUUUCAGCGGGGAGGAAGGCGAUGUGGUUAAUAACCGUAUCGAUUGACGUUAUCCGCAGAAGAAGCACCGGCUAACUCCGUGCCAGCCGCCGCAGUAA